Molecule: long non-coding RNA, 417 nt
Organism: Engraulis encrasicolus (European anchovy)
Lineage: Eukaryota; Metazoa; Chordata; Actinopteri; Clupeiformes; Engraulidae
Exons: 3
Source: RefSeq, a predicted model, not a curated record
UAAAAAGCUAGUUGUACGUGCCUCCUUAAAAAACUCUGUGAUGAACGGCCACCACUCCCCUUCCACGCGAAUCAAAGCAAAGAAAGUGGAUCGAUCAAAGAGGAGCAACAAUUCUGUCAACCUAAUGCCAGCCAGCAACGGGAUGGAAGUUUAACAAGCUGACUUUGUUAUUUGACCUGUCCCAGUGCAGCAGAGGAGCCAGUAAAGACCAGUUGUGCUGUGCCACCCGGACCUGAUGACAUUUUGAAGUCCAGAGCAUCCUGCCAUUCUGUAUGCACGUAAGAUCCUGACAAGAAAUUGUGCAACUUAUGCAAGAGUUGAAAAAACAACCAGCCUUAGUCACUGUUUUUACACUAUCCACAAUCACAAGAUAUAAGCGAUGAGCCUUAUAAUGUACAUAAUAUGCACAUUUGAUGU